RNAcentral lists this ribosomal RNA (253 nucleotides) under uncultured bacterium. Its description in RNAcentral is "partial 16S ribosomal RNA". It matches the Rfam family "Bacterial small subunit ribosomal RNA", at positions 524 to 776 of the family's 1533-position model. The record is from RNAcentral.
GACGUAGGGGGCCAGCGUUGUUCGGAAUUACUGGGUGUAAAGGGUUCGUAGGCGGUGCGGCAAGUUGGGAGUGAAAUCUCUGGGCUUAACCCAGAGGCUGCUUCCAAGACUGCUGUGCUUGAGUGUGGGAGAGGCGCGUGGAAUUGCAGGUGUAGCGGUGAAAUGCGUAGAUAUCUGCAGGAACACCCGUGGCGAAAGCGGCGCGCUGGACCACUACUGACGCUGAGGAACGAAAGCUAGGGGAGCAAACAGG